Megalops atlanticus (tarpon) is the source of this 74-nucleotide non-coding RNA. The record is from the annotation of a GenBank genome assembly. NCBI's taxonomy places the organism in Eukaryota, Metazoa, Chordata, Actinopteri, Elopiformes, Megalopidae.
GCAGCUGUGUAGCAUAGUGGUAGGGAGCAGGACUCGUAACCAAGAGGUUGCUGGUUCGAAUCCGUACUGGUGCA